This 301-nucleotide ribosomal RNA is filed under the name uncultured bacterium. Its description in RNAcentral is "partial 16S ribosomal RNA". It matches the Rfam family "Bacterial small subunit ribosomal RNA", at positions 509 to 808 of the family's 1533-position model. The record is from RNAcentral.
CAGUCGCCGCGGUAAUACAGAGGGUGCGAGCGUUAAUCGGAUUUACUGGGCGUAAAGCGUGCGUAGGCGGCUUUUUAAGUCGGAUGUGAAAUCCCUGAGCUUAACUUAGGAAUUGCAUUCGAUACUGGGAAGCUAGAGUAUGGGAGAGGAUGGUAGAAUUCCAGGUGUAGCGGUGAAAUGCGUAGAGAUCUGGAGGAAUACCGAUGGCGAAGGCAGCCAUCUGGCCUAAUACUGACGCUGAGGUACGAAAGCAUGGGGAGCAAACAGGAUUAGAUACCCCGGUAGUCCCUGUCUCUUUACA